UACGUAGGGUCCGAGCGUUGUCCGGAAUUAUUGGGCGUAAAGGGCUCGUAGGCGGUUUGUUGCGUCCGCUGUGAAAACUCGGGGCUUAACCCCGAGCCUGCAGUGGAUACGGGCAGACUAGAGGUAGGUAGGGGAGAAUGGAAUUCCCGGUGUAGCGGUGAAAUGCGCAGAUAUCGGGAGGAACACCGGUGGCGAAGGCGGUUCUCUAGGCCGUAACUGACGCUGAGGAGCGAAAGCGUGGGGAGCGAACAGG
Molecule: ribosomal RNA, 253 nt
Filed under: uncultured bacterium
Lineage: Bacteria
Description: partial 16S ribosomal RNA
Rfam family: Bacterial small subunit ribosomal RNA
Source: RNAcentral